UGAGAAUCAGGCCAGUAAUUUGAAGUUCAAACUAGCUGUUAAAUAUGAACCAUAUUAAAUCGCUCAAGUGAAGGUAGGAUACAAAAUUCAGUCUGAAAGUGCUAAAAGUUUACAAUUGCAAAUUGCAGUUUGAAGUCGCUUGCUUAAAAGGAAUGGAGAAGAAAUAUAUAUAAAAUGUGUGUGUUUUAUCCUUUUAACACAGAUGACAAAGAGAACAAAAAUACAAAGAGAACAAAGGUAUCGAACCUGGAGUAAAGAGUCAAUAUCAGACAAGAUAGUUAGGAGCAGUGGACACAGCGUCCAGGAGUGAAGCCCAGGACCUUCUACUCUCCGGCUGAUUUAGAGCCUUCGAGGAGGACUACUGGGGAGUCCGGACGAUUGUUGGACUUCGUCACAGGUGGGGAGACCCUCUGAGAUGUCGGGCACCAGGAAAGCAGGACCCUCCACAGAAAAAGAGAAAUGGAAGAGAAAGAAGAAUGUUGAGAGUGAGAAAAGGACCAAAGAAAAGGCCGAAAGGAAAGUAGGAGAUGAAUUAUCCGACAGCGACAGAGAGGAGGAAAAGGGGGGAGUGGGAGGGGACUAGGGUAUCAGGGAGCACCACAAACGCCACCCCCCCAAAA
Long non-coding RNA from Trachemys scripta elegans, 620 nucleotides. RefSeq lists it as uncharacterized. The transcript is spliced from 3 exons. The record is from RefSeq and is a predicted model, not a curated record. Lineage: Eukaryota; Metazoa; Chordata; Testudines; Emydidae.